CCCUUAGAUGUUCUGGGCUGCACGCGCGCUACACUGAUGCGCUCAACGAGUUUUAACCUUGCCUGGAAAGGUUGGGUAAUCUUUUUAAAACGCAUCGUGAUGGGGAUAGAUUAUUGCAAUUAUUAAUCUUCAACGAGGAAUUCCUAGUAAGCGCGAGUCAUCAGCUCGUGCUGAUUACGUCCCUGCCCUUUGUACACACCGCCCGUCGCUCCUACUGAUGAAUGGUCCGAUGAGUAUUCCGGAUGGAGACUGAUUUAGGCUUUGCCUUGCAGCUUCUCCAGAAGUUAUCCAAAUCUUAUCAUUUAGAGGAAGGAGAAGUCGUAACA
Molecule: ribosomal RNA, 326 nt
Filed under: uncultured eukaryote
Lineage: Eukaryota
Description: partial 18S ribosomal RNA
Rfam family: Eukaryotic small subunit ribosomal RNA
Source: RNAcentral